This 484-nucleotide ribosomal RNA is filed under the name uncultured bacterium. RNAcentral's name for it is "partial 16S ribosomal RNA". It matches the Rfam family "Bacterial small subunit ribosomal RNA", at positions 30 to 507 of the family's 1533-position model. The record is from RNAcentral.
AUUGAACGCUCGCGGGAUGCUUUACACAUGCAAGUCGAACGGCAGCGCGGACUUCGGUCUGGCGGCGAGUGGCGAACGGGUGAGUAAUGUAUCGGAACGUGCCCAGUAGCGGGGGAUAACUACGCGAAAGCGUAGCUAAUACCGCAUACGCCCUACGGGGGAAAGCAGGGGAUCGUAAGACCUUGCACUAUUUGAGCGGCCGAUAUCGGAUUAGCUAGUUGGUGAGGUAACGGCUCACCAAGGCGACGAUCCGUAGCUGGUUUGAGAGGCCGACCAGCCACACUGGGACUGAGACACGGCCCAGACUCCUACGGGAGGCAGCAGUGGGGAAUUUUGGACAAUGGGGGCAACCCUGAUCCAGCCAUCCCGCGUGUGCGAUGAAGGCCUUCGGGUUGUAAAGCACUUUUGGCAGGAAAGAAACGUCGCGGGCUAAUACCCCGUGGAACUGACGGUACCUGCAGAAUAAGCACCGGCUAACUACGUG